GUUCAGUGCAGUUUGACGGGCAAGAUGAUGUGCAGUCUUGCAGAUCAAGUAUGUCUGAUGAAGGUGUAUCUGCGGACGUGACCGGCAGUCACAAAGGU
Molecule: long non-coding RNA, 98 nt
Organism: Ornithodoros turicata
Lineage: Eukaryota; Metazoa; Arthropoda; Arachnida; Ixodida; Argasidae
Exons: 3
Source: RefSeq, a predicted model, not a curated record